AAAGUACUCCCUCCGUCCGGAAUUACUUGUCAUCAAAAUGGAUGUGUCUAGAACUAAAAUACAUCUAGAUACAUCCAUUUCAAUGACAAGUAUUUUUGGACGGAGGGAGUACAAG
Non-coding RNA from Triticum aestivum (bread wheat), 115 nucleotides. NCBI's taxonomy places the organism in Eukaryota, Viridiplantae, Streptophyta, Magnoliopsida, Poales, Poaceae. The record is from Rfam.